Molecule: long non-coding RNA, 3432 nt
Filed under: Olea europaea (common olive)
Lineage: Eukaryota; Viridiplantae; Streptophyta; Magnoliopsida; Lamiales; Oleaceae
Description: long non-coding RNA (OEUR_LNC003682)
Source: RNAcentral
UGGGGGAAGUGAACCUUUUAUUCCUCCAACACCUAGUGCCACCAAAUAGAGGCCGGUGAAUAACAUUAUAGCUUUCCCCCUGUCAACUUUCUCACAUUUUACGUUUCGGUCUACUAAAGGGCAUACUGGCGGUUUCAGUGAAGGUAUUUGAGCUUGCACUGUGAGUAUUACCAAACCCUGUUCAUAUAUUUAGAGUCAGUCAAAAAUAUGUUAUAUGCCUCACAUGGCUCAGUAAUGAUCUGCAUUGUUGAUGGACUUUAGUCCUGUUUUAUGUUAAUCCAGUGUGAAGAACCAAUGAAAUUGUGCAUUUCCCUAUUCUGAAUUACCAAUGACAAUGACAUCUGUCAUAUUCAUGGAUAUUAGCGUUGAAAUUGAUAGUGCACUACUUACAUCUCAACUCUCAAGCAUUAUAAAGAGCAAUAGGUAUAUGAAGUACUAGCAAUCCACAAAUUUUGAUUGGACAGAAACUCGUGACAAGGGUCUUGAACUUUUAAUAUCUUACACCUUCCACUCUCAGUUGUCAUUUAUGGAAAUUAUGGUUAAGUUCUUGUUUUCGCUAAAAUAUUUGUGUGUUGUUGUGUAUUAGCUAGGUAAAACAUUUUGAUGUAAUAUUCUUGCUUGCUAUUUCCUUGAAGUAAUCCAGUAUAUAAUUGUAAUUUGUCUCUGCAUGGGGUCAUAGCACCUGAAGUAAGACAAUAAUAUGCCCAUAGAGGAGGCUAUCUAAUUCGUUUUUGUUUCCAGUUAUGCCGGUACUGCCUCUGAAAUGAAACAGCCUUGCUUCUUAAACCUGCACUUGAUGAACCUUAUUUAUGCCUUGCCAUGUGACAGUUUAUAUGAUGUAGAUCUUAAUAAUACUCUUCGAAGACUUAUUAUAAUCUUUUCAUUCACAUCUUUUGCAGAAGAAUACGAAAUGUUUUCUGAAGUUAUUUUAUUGAGUAUUAAAAUUAAGGAUUUUGAAUAGACGUGUUGUGUAAUAUUAGCUGUGAGGCUGGGUCCUAUUCUUACCAGAAAUUCUGUCAUUGCACUUAUUAUAUAGAUGCGAUACGUGGUGAAGUAGGCGUCAGAUAAGAAGCCUCCAAGGAGAGCGAGGAGGAAGGCCGUGCCCAUGAAAUUUGUGACAAUGUUGGCUGAGCUUGAUGGAGAGAAGUGCAUGAAUCUUGACAAAUAAAGAACCAAGUUGCUCGCAUUGGCCAGGUAUGCUAGGUUCUCCAAGACCUCCACAACUAAAAGUUUGCAACAGGAAGUAAAUUGGUAAUCAAGUUCAUGCUCAUGUUUAGACCAGACUGGGAAGUUAUUAUCAAAAUUUUAGCUCAUUUCUCUUGUUUAAUAUUGUCCAGUUUUGUCCAUUCUAGUAUACCAAACGGGCGUGGUUACUGUGUGAAAAGUAAUAAAUGUGACUUUAGAGACUAACCUAAGAUGAAAGAGGCAGCAAGCAUGCCUCCAUGACGGCCUUUUAUGGCCGAUCUAUUUCUCCAAUCUAUGUAGCCAUCCCACCUGUUCGAAUGCUGCCCCUGCCCAUUAUCCUGCAGCAUUCGCAAAGGAAAAAUUGAAUAUCGUUUUGAUGAUGAAGAUCCUUUAAUGAAAAAGAAAAACAUAUACAGAAAAUUCAGCAGAGUGAACCAUCUCUAUUUCCGACAUCUAUGGAAUCUCUUGCUAUGUGAACCCUGAUCAGAAACUGUUCAGCCUAAGCAGCAUCUGUGCAGGAGUUGCAUAUUUAAAUACUGAGAGAAUAUGGUUGUCCUACCUCAAUGGAAAAACCUAGAUUCCUUGAAAGUGACUUUACAUUCUCACAUCCUAUUUUCCUAAUUAUGAUGUAGUUGUCUUUAAGCGUUGGUUUGUCUUGAGAGUGGGGGCACAGAGAGAUAUAGAGAUUUCUUUAAGUUUAUAUAUAUAUUUUUAUUUAUUUAUUUAUUAUUAUUAUUUUUUUUGUUGUUGGAGCAACUCGCUCCAAAGAUUGUCAAAUCAGUGUUUUUUGGACUUAGUUUCACAUCACAUUUCUCUACCUAACAAUCAAUCCAAACUACUUCAAUCCACAAUUAAAAUAUUCACCUCGGUUGCUUCUCAAUCUCACCCACAAAUGACAAGAUAACGGUAAUAAUUGGUAGCUACAAAGACAAGAAGAAAACGCCACAAAAUGAGGCAAGGAAGAGACCACAAAGUGAAAGGGAAGUCACCGGUUUUGGCACCAUAAAGGCACCCUGUUUUGCUGUUCUAUGGCAGCCAUGUUUUCUCCUCUCAAACACACAAAUCACAAACUAAAAAAUGGCUAGGGCAAGCGCAUAUAACUAGGGUUAGGUUAGGCUUUUAGUUGGACUAAUAACAAGGCUAAAUGGGCUAAGAUUGAAAGCCAGAGGUAAUAUAAAUGGGCCGGAUAGAGCCUUUGGAUUUGGUUGUUAAUGACUAUUUCACUCGCUGGUCGAGGUCUAUGAAAUAUAGUCCCACGUUUAACAUCAUAGUUCAAGAUUUAUUGGGUAUCAAAAUCCAACAUUUUUGUACAAAAGAAAAAUAAUAAUAAUAAUAAUACUAAUAAUAAUAAUAAUAAUAAUAAUAAUAAUAAUAAUAAUAAGUAGAGAAGGGGAAAAUCAAGUUCAUUUGAAACUUCAAUGAUGUAUUUUCAUAAUCAUUAGUUCAUGAGAAGUGAGGCUUUGGAGGAAAACUAGGUGAAAGUUACUAAGCUUAAUAGCUUGAUGAUCAAUUAAACAAAUGAUGGUAAUGCUGCAAGUUGAUAAUCUACAUAACUUUGAAUCUGGACCUGCGCCACAAUCUCUUUUCCUAUAUUGGUGGCAGCGAUUUUAAGAGAUUAGAACUGUCCUAAUUACAUUAAUCCUAGUCUGAUAUUUCCUAUAACAGAAAAACACACUUUCUUUAUGUAAUCAGGAAAGAUUAUCCAAUUUUUUGGGAGCUGAGCUACUUGCAGAUUUACUACUUACUUAAGAAAAAAGAACCUAGGUGACGGUUAUAAGUCAUCUUCCAGUUCACGUGGCCUUUUGUUCUUUACCAUGUUCUCAGGUAGCUUUCAACACCUACAAAUUUCUUCAUGCUACUGGAGUCAACUGAUAAAUGUCUUGCUCAUCUUGUGGUGUAAAUUGCUUCAUCGUUUUCCUUUCUGGGCCAAUGAAAUGAGUGGAUGCUACAUUGCUAAUGAAGCUGUGAAAGUGCAGGAUCUACGCGAUCAGCAAAUUUUGGUGGUUGAGUAUUACAUAUCAUUCAUUUUCAUGCACUUCUUAGUCCGAAAAUUUGGAUAGUUCAAUGCGUCUUUUUAAUUUAGUUGUGUAUAGUCUCUUUAAAGAGUUUUUUGUAGUUCUAUUACUAUAGAUCACAUGUUAGUGGCCCCACUAUUGAAAGGGCUAGAAAGGCUUAAGUAAAUAUCAGUAUAAUUGUACCACGUUGAGAAUUUGAUCUCUAUGUUAAGGACAGGAGGUCCUAUCGAUA